UGGGGAAUAUUGGACAAUGGGCGCAAGCCUGAUCCAGCCAUGCCGCGUGAGUGAUGAAGGCCCUAGGGUUGUAAAGCUCUUUCACCGGUGAAGAUAAUGACGGUAACCGGAGAAGAAGCCCCGGCUAACUUCGUGCCAGCAGCCGCGGUAAUACGAAGGGGGUUAGCGUUGUUCGGAUUUACUGGGCGUAAAGCGCACGUAGGCGGACUAUUAAGUCAGGGGUGAAAUCCCGGGGCUCAACCCCGGAACUGCCUUUGAUACUGGUAGUCUUAAGUUCGAGAGAGGUGAGUGGAAUUCCGAGUGUAGAGGUGAAAUUCGUAGAUAUUCGGAGGAACACCAGUGGCGAAGGCGGCUCACUGGCUCGAUACUGACGCUGAGGUGCGAAAGCGUGGGGAGCAAACAGG
RNAcentral lists this ribosomal RNA (404 nucleotides) under Actinomycetes bacterium. Its description in RNAcentral is "Actinobacteria bacterium partial 16S ribosomal RNA". It matches the Rfam family "Bacterial small subunit ribosomal RNA", at positions 355 to 776 of the family's 1533-position model. The record is from RNAcentral. Lineage: Bacteria; Bacillati; Actinomycetota; Actinomycetes.